RNAcentral lists this long non-coding RNA (1464 nucleotides) under Vigna radiata. Its description in RNAcentral is "long non-coding RNA (VRAD_LNC006239)". The record is from RNAcentral. Lineage: Eukaryota; Viridiplantae; Streptophyta; Magnoliopsida; Fabales; Fabaceae.
GGGGGAUAAAAUUCUUUGUAACGAGAUAAAAAAUUCUAUUGAUUUAAAUCUUAUUACUGCAUAUUGGUUGAAUUUUUUUAUAUGUUGUUUUGAUAUGCACAACUGAAUCCAUGAGGUUGAACAGAUUGGGAUAUGAGAAUGCAUGAAUUAUAGAUGUUGUUUAGGAAGUUAUACAUCAUGUUGUCAAAUUUAGCUUUGAGUAAAUUGUGCUAAUAAUAAAGUCUUCAUGAUAAACUUGGAGUAGCUGUGAUGUGAUUAUAUUCAUUGAAGCUACUAUUGCAUUCAUUGUACUUUAUAAAUUAGUAGCUGAAUCAUAAACAUCUUAAUUGUUUGAUAAAUGAUUGUUGAUUUCAUGGGUAAAUUGAGUAUGCUAAAAGCUGAAUUUGAUUUACUAAGAAUCAUUGAAACUUGUUUGAAAUUGCAAAUACAAAUCUGAAUUGGCUUGAAAGCAUCUCUUCAUUGUUUUGGACUGAACAAAUCUUAAAACAUUUUUUCAGAAUCUGCUUUUGAGUUUAAGAAAAAAAAAAUUUGUUUGACAUGAUCUUGUGAUACCUGGUACCCAUUUGAGGGAGAAAUAUAUAAGGUUGUUAGAUAUAUGGACAUUUUAUGAAUGUUAUAUGAGUUUUAGGGAGAAAUAUAUCAGCGUAAAAAAAAAAAAAAAAAAGACUUUUUUAAAAAUUUUUUAAAAGGGGAUUAUUACAUUUAGGAGGAGUACUUUUAAAAGGACUUAAUUUUUUUUAAGUUACUUAUUUUAUGAGGAGCAUAAACUUUAGAUUUUUUUUAAAAGAGGGGAUGAAGCUUUUGAUUGAGAACUUUUAUAAUAACUAGAAGAUAUGAGACCUACCCUGAAACCUCACUUUGAUCAAAUUUAUGAAUGGCAGCAAGCUCAUGAAAAGUUAUAUGGUUGAUCAAAUUCUUGACAUUGAUGUUCAUCUAGGAAAUAUUGAAAAUCAUCUAAACAUUCAAUCAACCGAGAGAUCCUAAGUCCUGAAUUUUAGAAUUAGGAUUUUUUUUGUCUGAGUGCCUUGUUGAUUGGUUGUUAUUCUUAUAUCUAUGUUAUAUCUCUGUCUUUUAUGUUUCUCCUUAUGAUGUCUAUGUAAUCCUUUCUUUUAUGAAUAACAUGAUCUCUUGUUUUAUGCAUACAUUGUUUAAUUGAGGGGGAGAUCAUAUUUAGGGGGAGCUUUUUAAAUUAAUAUUUUUGCUUAUGAUCAAAAAGGGGGAGAAGCAUAAUAUAAGUGCAGAAGUAUAAUACAAAUUAAUAAUUGAUACAGGUAUUGCUAACUUUGUUUUCUGUUAGCUCUUACGUAUUGCACGUAAGCCAGAGUUGCUUUUAAAAGUGAAUUUUUGAUCAUCAUNAAAAANGGGGAGAUUGUUACCAAUAAGGAGCAUUGGUAAAACUUGAAGAAUUGUUUUGAUGAUGCUGCAAGAAGUAUUAUUUAAAGAGAACAUUAGAUUUAUUUAAAA